GGCGGCAUGCUUUACACAUGCAAGUCGAACGGCAGCAUGGGUGCUUGCACCUGAUGGCGAGUGGCGAACGGGUGAGUAAUAUAUCGGAACAUGUCCGGAAGUGGGGGAUAACGUAGCGAAAGUUACGCUAAUACCGCAUAUGCCCUGAGGGGGAAAGGAGGGGAUCGUAAGACCUUUCGCUUUCGGAGUGGCCGAUAUCAGAUUAGCUUGUUGGCGAGGUAAAGGCUCACCAAGGCGACGAUCUGUAGCUGGUCUGAGAGGACGACCAGCCACACUGGGACUGAGACACGGCCCAGACUCCUACGGGAGGCAGCAGUGGGGAAUUUUGGACAAUGGGCGAAAGCCUGAUCCAGCCAUGCCGCGUGAGUGAAGAANGCCUUCGGGUUGUNAAGCUCUUUCAGCCGGAAAGAAAUCGUGCAACCUAAUACGUUGU
RNAcentral lists this ribosomal RNA (433 nucleotides) under uncultured beta proteobacterium. RNAcentral describes it as "bacterial SSU rRNA". It matches the Rfam family "Bacterial small subunit ribosomal RNA", at positions 38 to 472 of the family's 1533-position model. The record is from RNAcentral. Lineage: Bacteria; Pseudomonadati; Pseudomonadota; Betaproteobacteria.